Molecule: ribosomal RNA, 412 nt
Filed under: Verrucomicrobiota bacterium
Lineage: Bacteria; Pseudomonadati; Verrucomicrobiota
Description: Verrucomicrobia bacterium partial 16S ribosomal RNA
Rfam family: Bacterial small subunit ribosomal RNA
Source: RNAcentral
UGGGGAAUAUUGCGCAAUGGGGGAAACCCUGACGCAGCGACGCCGCGUGCGGGAUGAAGGCCUUCGGGUUGUAAACCGCUUUUGAUUGGGAGCAAGCCUUUUGGGUGAGUGUACCUUUCGAAUAAGCGCCGGCUAACUACGUGCCAGCAGCCGCGGUAAUACGUAGGGCGCAAGCGUUAUCCGGAAUUAUUGGGCGUAAAGGGUUCGCAGGCGGAAUAACAAGUCAGAUGUGAAAGGCAUGGGCUCAACCCAUGUAAGCAUUUGAAACUGUAAUUCUUGAGAAGUGGAGAGGUAAGUGGAAUUCCUAGUGUAGCGGUGAAAUGCGUAGAUAUUAGGAGGAAUACCUGUGGCGAAGGCGACUUACUGGACACAAAUCUGACGCUGAGGAACGAAAGCGUGGGUAGCAAACAGG